Molecule: ribosomal RNA, 216 nt
Filed under: Glomeromycotina sp.
Lineage: Eukaryota; Fungi; Glomeromycota
Description: partial small subunit ribosomal RNA
Rfam family: Eukaryotic small subunit ribosomal RNA (bases 40-216)
Source: RNAcentral
GGGUCAGUAGGUUGGUCGUGCCACCGGUACGUACUGGUCUCACUGAUUCCUCCUUCCUGAAGAACCGUAAUGCCAUUAAUUUGGUGUUGCGGGGAAACAGGACUGUUACUUUGAAAAAAUUAGAGUGUUUAAAGCAAGCGAACGCUUGAAUACAUUAGCAUGGAAUAAUGAAAUAGGACGAUCGAUCCUAUUUUGUUGGUUUCCAGGAUUGACGUA